Molecule: ribosomal RNA, 138 nt
Filed under: Verrucomicrobiota bacterium
Lineage: Bacteria; Pseudomonadati; Verrucomicrobiota
Description: Verrucomicrobia bacterium (rhizosphere metagenome) partial 16S ribosomal RNA
Rfam family: Bacterial small subunit ribosomal RNA
Source: RNAcentral
UCUACGGAGAGUUUGAUUCUGGCUCAGAACGAACGCUGGCGGCGUGGAUAAGACAUGCAAGUCGAACGAGUUUGAUUCUGGAGCAAUUCAGGGUUGAGCUAGUGGCGAACGGGUGCGUAACACGUGAGUAAUCUGCCC